Molecule: ribosomal RNA, 254 nt
Filed under: uncultured bacterium
Lineage: Bacteria
Description: partial 16S ribosomal RNA
Rfam family: Bacterial small subunit ribosomal RNA
Source: RNAcentral
UACGUAGGGGGGCUAGCGUUGUCCGGAUUUAUUGGGCGUAAAGAGCGUGUAGGCGGCCAGGUAGGUCUGCUGUGAAAACUCGAGGCUCAACCUCGAGACGUCGGCGGAAACCAUCUGGCUAGAGUCCGGAAGAGGAGAGUGGAAUUCCUGGUGUAGCGGUGAAAUGCGCAGAUAUCAGGAAGAACACCCGUGGCGAAAGCGGCUCUCUGGAACGGUACUGACGCUGAGACGCGAAAGCGUGGGGAGCGAACAGG